Molecule: long non-coding RNA, 262 nt
Filed under: Nicotiana benthamiana
Lineage: Eukaryota; Viridiplantae; Streptophyta; Magnoliopsida; Solanales; Solanaceae
Description: long non-coding RNA (NBEN_LNC035586)
Source: RNAcentral
GGGAACAAUAAUGGCAGCGGGUGGGAGAUGAAGAAGAAAUGAUGAUGGAGGGGCGGUCUCUUCAAUAAGUAAGCGCUGGCUGAAGAAGAUGAAUGAUGAUAGGAAGGCUGCUGUGUGAACUGAUGACGAAGACGAAGCAAUGUCGAUAGGUAUUGCGGCACUAGGCUACAGGGGUGGUCGACUGGUGUUGUGGAUGCCGGUUGAUUUCGACGAGUUGAGGGUGAUGCGAGGGAGACGAUAUACAGGGGGUGGGGUCUUCGCU